This 465-nucleotide ribosomal RNA is filed under the name Vreelandella stevensii. RNAcentral's name for it is "partial 16S ribosomal RNA". It matches the Rfam family "Bacterial small subunit ribosomal RNA", at positions 338 to 795 of the family's 1533-position model. Lineage: Bacteria; Pseudomonadati; Pseudomonadota; Gammaproteobacteria; Oceanospirillales; Halomonadaceae. The record is from RNAcentral.
CCUACGGGUGGCAGCAGUGGGGGAUAUUGGACAAUGGGCGAAAGCCUGAUCCAGCCAUGCCGCGUGUGUGAAGAAGGCCUUCGGGUUGUAAAGCACUUUCAGUGGGGAAGAAAGCCUUGGGGCUAAUACCCUCGAGGAAGGACAUCACCCACAGAAGAAGCACCGGCUAACUCCGUGCCAGCAGCCGCGGUAAUACGGAGGGUGCGAGCGUUAAUCGGAAUUACUGGGCGUAAAGCGCGCGUAGGCGGUCUGAUAAGCCGGUUGUGAAAGCCCCGGGCUCAACCUGGGAACGGCAUCCGGAACUGUCAGGCUAGAGUGCAGGAGAGGAAGGUAGAAUUCCCGGUGUAGCGGUGAAAUGCGUAGAGAUCGGGAGGAAUACCAGUGGCGAAGGCGGCCUUCUGGACUGACACUGACGCUGAGGUGCGAAAGCGUGGGUAGCAAACAGGAUUAGAUACCCUAGUAGUC